CUCAUCAAACAGAAACUGAAACAAGAGCAACAACAGGAAAUACUACAGUUGAACUCCAUCAGCCAAACACUCACCUGUCUUCUGUUGCUGGCGGUCUGGGUUCGGUUCUGCUGGUUCUGACUCUGUGUUCUGGAACGUUCCUCAUCCUGAAAAAGAGGAAAAGGAAAUGUGGGACAGCUUUAUUUCAGCAAAAUGUGCAGCACAAUACAGAGACUGACCGCAUGUAUGAAGAUAUUCCCAACAGUGAUGUCGCCGUGGUAACAUCUUCGUCCAAUCAGACGCCUGCAUCACACCUCGACAACCACCCAGAAGUCUCUGCUGUUUACGCCACAGUAACCAAACAGCAGCCCGAUUCAAACCCCGGUCACACCCACUCGACCAAUCAGGUGACAGAUUCAGACUGUGAUUAUUAUGCCAAUAUAAAGUCACCUGACCCAACACAGGACAGCG
This is a long non-coding RNA of Ctenopharyngodon idella (grass carp), 450 nucleotides long. RefSeq lists it as uncharacterized. The transcript has 4 exons. The record is from RefSeq and is a predicted model, not a curated record. NCBI's taxonomy places the organism in Eukaryota, Metazoa, Chordata, Actinopteri, Cypriniformes, Xenocyprididae.